Molecule: transfer RNA, 77 nt
Filed under: Alphaproteobacteria bacterium 33-17
Lineage: Bacteria; Pseudomonadati; Pseudomonadota; Alphaproteobacteria
Also listed under: 3 other names
Description: tRNA-Arg
Rfam family: tRNA
About the family: Transfer RNA (tRNA) molecules are approximately 80 nucleotides in length. Their secondary structure includes four short double-helical elements and three loops (D, anti-codon, and T loops). Further hydrogen bonds mediate the characteristic L-shaped molecular structure. tRNAs have two regions of fundamental functional importance: the anti-codon, which is responsible for specific mRNA codon recognition, and the 3' end, to which the tRNAs corresponding amino acid is attached (by aminoacyl-tRNA synthetases). tRNAs cope with the degeneracy of the genetic code in two manners: having more than one tRNA (with a specific anti-codon) for a particular amino acid; and 'wobble' base-pairing, i.e. permitting non-standard base-pairing at the 3rd anti-codon position.
Source: RNAcentral
GCGCUCUUAGCUCAGCUGGAUAGAGCAACAGACUUCUAAUCUGUAGGUCAGAGGUUCGAAUCCUCUAGAGCGCGCCA